GACGAACGCUGGCGGCGUGCUUAACACAUGCAAGUCGAGCGGUAAGGCCCUUUCGGGGUACGACGAGCGGCGAACGGGUGAGUAACACGUGGGUGACCUGCCCUCAGCUCUGGGAGUAAGCCUGGGAAACCGGGUCUAAUACUGGAUAUGACUCCAUGACGCAUGUUGUGGGGUGGAAAGCCUUGUGCGGCUGAGGAUGGGCCCGCGGCCUAUCAGCUUGUUGGUGGGGUGAGGCCUACCAAGGCGACGACGGGUAGCCGGCCUGAGAGGGCGACCGGCCACACUGGGACGUGAGACACGGCCCAGACUCCUACGGGAGGCAGCAGUGGGGAAUCUUGCGCAAUGGGCGAAAGCCUGACGCAGCGACGCCGCGUGAGGGAUGACGGCCU
This 389-nucleotide ribosomal RNA is filed under the name uncultured bacterium. Its description in RNAcentral is "bacterial SSU rRNA". It matches the Rfam family "Bacterial small subunit ribosomal RNA", at positions 28 to 417 of the family's 1533-position model. The record is from RNAcentral.